RNAcentral lists this ribosomal RNA (253 nucleotides) under uncultured bacterium. RNAcentral's name for it is "partial 16S ribosomal RNA". It matches the Rfam family "Bacterial small subunit ribosomal RNA", at positions 524 to 776 of the family's 1533-position model. The record is from RNAcentral.
UACGUAGGGCGCAAGCGUUGUCCGGAAUUAUUGGGCGUAAAGAGCUCGUAGGCGGCUUGUCACGUCGGGUGUGAAAGCCCGGGGCUUAACCCCGGGUCUGCAUUCGAUACGGGCUAGCUAGAGUGUGGUAGGGGAGAUCGGAAUUCUUGGUGUAGCAGUGAAAUGCGUAGAUAUCAAGAGGAACACCAGUGGCGAAGGCGGGUCUCUGGGCCGUAACUGACGCUGAGGAGCGAAAGCGUGGGGAGCGAACAGG